Molecule: ribosomal RNA, 415 nt
Filed under: uncultured bacterium
Lineage: Bacteria
Description: bacterial SSU rRNA
Rfam family: Bacterial small subunit ribosomal RNA
Source: RNAcentral
UCGGGAAUAUUGCGCAAUGGAGGAAACUCUGACGCAGUGACGCCGCGUAUAGGAAGAAGGUUUUCGGAUUGUAAACUAUUGUCGUUAGGGAAGAGAAAGGACAGUACCUAAGGAGGAAGCUCCGGCUAACUACGUGCCAGCAGCCGCGGUAAUACGUAGGGAGCAAGCGUUAUCCGGAAUUAUUGGGUGUAAAGGGUGCGUAGACGGGAAUACAAGUUAGUUGUGAAAUCCCUCGGCUUAACUGAGGAACUGCAACUAAAACUAUAUUUCUUGAGUGCAGGAGAGGUAAGUGGAAUUCCUAGUGUAGCGGUGAAAUGCGUAGAUAUUAGGAGGAACACCAGUGGCGAAGGCGACUUACUGGACUGUAACUGACGUUGAGGCUCGAAAGCGUGGGGAGCAAACAGGAUUAGAUACC